UACGGAGGGGGCAAGCGUUGUUCGGAUUUACUGGGCGUAAAGGGUGUGUAGGCGGCUGGAUAAGUCUGGCGUGAAAUCUUCACCGCUUAACGGGAAGGGGUCGCUGGAAACUGUUCAGCUUGAGUAUGGUAGAGGCAAGCGGAAUUCCUGGUGUAGCGGUGGAAUGUGUAGAUAUCAGGAGGAACACCUGCGGUGUAGACGGCUUACUGGACCAUAACUGACGCUGAGGCACGAAAGCGUGGGUAGCAAACAGG
RNAcentral lists this ribosomal RNA (254 nucleotides) under uncultured bacterium. RNAcentral describes it as "partial 16S ribosomal RNA". It matches the Rfam family "Bacterial small subunit ribosomal RNA", at positions 524 to 776 of the family's 1533-position model. The record is from RNAcentral.